This 465-nucleotide ribosomal RNA is filed under the name uncultured bacterium. RNAcentral's name for it is "partial 16S ribosomal RNA". It matches the Rfam family "Bacterial small subunit ribosomal RNA", at positions 29 to 507 of the family's 1533-position model. The record is from RNAcentral.
AUGAACGCUGGCGGCGUGCUUAACACAUGCAAGUCGCACGGAAAGGCUCCUGCUUGCAGGGGUACUCGAGCGGCGAACGGGUGAGUAACACGUGGGUGAUCUGCCCUGCACUUCGGGAUAAGCCUGGGAAACUGGGUCUAAUACCGGAUAGGACGAUGGUUUGGAUGCCAUCGUGGAAAGUUUUUUCGGUGUGGGAUGAGCUCGCGGCCUAUCAGCUUGUUGGUGGGGUAAUGGCCUACCAAGGCGUCGACGGGUAGCCGGCCUGAGAGGGUGUACGGCCACAUUGGGACUGAGAUACGGCCCAGACUCCUACGGGAGGCAGCAGUGGGGAAUAUUGCACAAUGGGCGCAAGCCUGAUGCAGCGACGCCGCGUGGGGGAUGACGGCCUUCGGGUUGUAAACUCCUUUCGCUAGGGACGAAGCGCAAGUGACGGUACCUGGAGAAGAAGCACCGGCUAACUACGUG